RNAcentral lists this ribosomal RNA (253 nucleotides) under uncultured bacterium. RNAcentral's name for it is "partial 16S ribosomal RNA". It matches the Rfam family "Bacterial small subunit ribosomal RNA", at positions 524 to 776 of the family's 1533-position model. The record is from RNAcentral.
UACGAAGGGGGCUAGCGUUGUUCGGAAUUACUGGGCGUAAAGCGCGCGCAGGCGGUCUUCCAAGUCAGUGGUGAAAGCCCGGAGCUCAACUCCGGAAUUGCCAUUGAAACUGUUGGACUUGAGGAUGAGAGAGGUGAGUGGAAUUCCCAGUGUAGAGGUGAAAUUCGUAGAUAUUCGGAAGAACACCAGUGGCGAAGGCGACUCGCUGGACAAGUAUUGACGCUGAGGUGCGAAAGCGUGGGGAGCAAACAGG